GCCCGCCUAGCUCAAUCGGAUAGAGCGUCAGACUCUUACUAGGCGGGUGAUCUGAAGGCUGCGAGUUCGACCCUCGCGGUGGGCU
RNAcentral lists this transfer RNA (85 nucleotides) under Trametes cinnabarina. Its description in RNAcentral is "Pycnoporus cinnabarinus tRNA". It matches the Rfam family "tRNA". Rfam says of the family: Transfer RNA (tRNA) molecules are approximately 80 nucleotides in length. Their secondary structure includes four short double-helical elements and three loops (D, anti-codon, and T loops). Further hydrogen bonds mediate the characteristic L-shaped molecular structure. tRNAs have two regions of fundamental functional importance: the anti-codon, which is responsible for specific mRNA codon recognition, and the 3' end, to which the tRNAs corresponding amino acid is attached (by aminoacyl-tRNA synthetases). tRNAs cope with the degeneracy of the genetic code in two manners: having more than one tRNA (with a specific anti-codon) for a particular amino acid; and 'wobble' base-pairing, i.e. permitting non-standard base-pairing at the 3rd anti-codon position. Lineage: Eukaryota; Fungi; Basidiomycota; Agaricomycetes; Polyporales; Polyporaceae. The record is from Rfam by way of RNAcentral.